GGUGUAUCAUAAACUCUCUCAUUGAAUGAUUUAUCUUUAGAAAUCAACUUCAAUAAAGCUGAGCUGCUGUGGUUUGUAAAUAAUUGCAUGAGUCUUCCACAUGUUUUUAAGCUUGCUUGUCUCUGCAGUAUCCCAGUUAGCAGACCUUCACUUUUUAUACUUCCAAAAGCUUCAUCAUUGGAUUUAGUUUUUUCAAAAUUUUCCAUCUCAACAUCUAUAUCCACAAUGCAUGGUGAAUAAGCAUCGGCAUUUUCCAUCUGGAAACCAAUGAAGUUCUGGCAAUUCAGUUGAGGAUCUAAACACUUCUGCUUUUUUGGUGAAUCAGGAAGUUCUACAAAGCUUAAAAAUGCAAGCUGUGAUGUACAUUUUGGAUUGGUUUUGUCUUCCUCAGACAACAUUGAACUACUGUAGACAUCUUGGCCAUGUGGAGUCUGAAAGGCGCAUUCUUCUUCCAUUGGAAACGAAGCUUCCUCAAAAAGUAAAGGCAAAAUAUCUAGAGUACGCUGCUGGUUGACCUCAUCGAAACUUGGCUUUACUAACUGGAAGCAUGAACCAGCAACAGGAAGAUCGCAACUUCCAUCAACAAUCACUGGGGUUUCCACAUGAGAGGAAAUAGCAUUAGUAGCCAUUGGAGAGACAGAGGUCAAGUGUGGUAGCAGAGAAGACGGCUGCUCACAUACUAGAGAUAAUGCAUGUGUGAGAGUGUGC
RNAcentral lists this unclassified non-coding RNA (708 nucleotides) under Hevea brasiliensis (rubber tree). The record is from RNAcentral. Lineage: Eukaryota; Viridiplantae; Streptophyta; Magnoliopsida; Malpighiales; Euphorbiaceae.